This 261-nucleotide ribosomal RNA is filed under the name uncultured prokaryote. Its description in RNAcentral is "partial 16S ribosomal RNA". It matches the Rfam family "Bacterial small subunit ribosomal RNA", at positions 524 to 784 of the family's 1533-position model. The record is from RNAcentral.
UACGUAGGGGUCGAGCGUUGUCCGGAAUUACUGGGCGUAAAGGGCGCGCAGGCUGUUAUGCGAGUCUGCUGUGAAAUGUACCGGCUCAACCGGUGCCUUGCGGCGGAUACUGCAUAGCUGGAGUACUGGAGAGGGAAGUGGAAUUCCCGGUGUAGCGGUGAAAUGCGUAGAGAUCGGGAGGAACACCAGUGGCGAAGGCGGGUAACUGGACUGCAACUGACGCUGAGGCGCGAAAGUGUGGGGAGCAAACAGGAUUAGAUA